CCCGGCUUUCCUAAUGGCCUCUUCAUCCGAGAGGAUCCUAAUCCCCAUUUUUACUCUGACAGGGAUCAGUUGGAUGAAGAGUUAAACUACAAGAGAGCCAAGGGGACUGACAUCUUGGAACCACGGUCACUGAAAAGGCGUGGGAGCAAGCUGUCCGGAAAGCGUCCUGCACAUCCCAGAAAUUGCCUAGCUUGACGAAUCUUUCAGAAGGUCACACAACCUUGCCUGGAGACACGAAAUGGAGAGAGAGCCCACGGCGAGUUCUGCUCAAACAAUUGUCUCGCCCUCACUGUUCACAAUGUGAUGAUGCGUGCUGCCUGGUUACAGCUUCCAUCUUCCCAUGUGCCUGUCUCUUUGGGGCAACGCAAAGCAAAAUUCAAGAGAGGACAAGCUAUCUCGCGUAGCCCAGCAGAGAGGUCUUGCUGCCACAAGACGGACACUGUUUUCAUGGACAGAGCCUGCCUAUCACUGGAAUAAAUCCCAGCCAAUUCCACUCUUCCUUUGAUGACAAAGAACCAAGCCUAGUGCACAAGAUGUCUGCAUUUUAGAUGAACAGAUAAGUCCUUCACUUUGACUUAAAUUCAAAUGUAAAUUCAUCCAAAGUAUUACUCAAGAUCAGCCUCAAAGUCUUCAACUAACCCCGCUCUCUCCUGCAAAAUGCAUUCCUGUCCCAUUUGGAAAGCUGACAGGAUCACCCAAAAUCUCAGUGCCAUUGUUCUACUCCAUACAGCUGUAGCAAGAGGUGCUGCACUAAACCAGCAGCCACCAUGUUUGGGGAUGAUCUGCGGAGAGCAUUGGCAGGGUUUCUAAAGCGGUCUAGGGCCUCAAUAAUCUCAAGUUGUGCCAAAGCUAAGGGGCAUCAUCCCUGUAAUUAAAGUGCUGUUCUUUGAAGAUGCAACUUUCUUACU
Molecule: long non-coding RNA, 908 nt
Organism: Numida meleagris (helmeted guineafowl)
Lineage: Eukaryota; Metazoa; Chordata; Aves; Galliformes; Numididae
Exons: 3
Source: RefSeq, a predicted model, not a curated record